Molecule: ribosomal RNA, 532 nt
Filed under: Pestalotiopsis sp. 5 JM-2013
Lineage: Eukaryota; Fungi; Ascomycota; Sordariomycetes; Amphisphaeriales; Sporocadaceae
Description: eukaryotic LSU rRNA
Rfam family: 5.8S ribosomal RNA (bases 155-308)
Source: RNAcentral
GGGGCCGCUGAAAGCUUGACUGACUCCAACCCAUGUGACUUACCUUUUGGUUGCCUCGGGCAGAAGUUAUAGGUCUUCUUAUAGCUGCUGCCGGUGGACCAUUAAACUCUUAGUAUAUUUUAUGUAAUCUGAGGGUCUUAUUUUAAUAAGUCAAAACUUUCAACAACGGAUCUCUUGGUUCUGGCAUCGAUGAAGAACGCAGCGAAAUGCGAUAAGUAAUGUGAAUUGCAGAAUUCAGUGAAUCAUCGAAUCUUUGAACGCACAUUGCGCCCAUUAGUAUUCUAGUGGGCAUGCCUGUUCGAGCGUCAUUUCAACCCUUAAGCCUAGCUUAGUGUUGGGAAUCUACUUCUUUUAUUAGUUGUAGUUCCUGAAAUACAACGGCGGAUUUGUAGUAUCCUCUGAGCGUAGUAAUUUUUUUCUCGCUUUUGUUAGGUGCUACAACUCCCAGCCGCUAAACCCCCAAUUUUUUGUGGUUGACCUCGGAUCAGGUAGGAAUACCCGCUGAACUUAAGCAUAUCAAUAAGCGGAGGAA